RNAcentral lists this ribosomal RNA (406 nucleotides) under uncultured bacterium. Its description in RNAcentral is "partial 16S ribosomal RNA". It matches the Rfam family "Bacterial small subunit ribosomal RNA", at positions 30 to 526 of the family's 1533-position model. The record is from RNAcentral.
AUUGAACGCUGGCGGCAGGCCUAACACAUGCAAGUCGGGCGCGCGGCGGACGGGUGAGUAAUGUAUGGGGAUCUUCCUGAUGGAGGGGGAUAACUACUGGAAACGGUUGCUAAAUCCGCCUUCCAUCAGCUGGAACCAUAUGGGCUUAGGUUGUGGGGGAGGUAAAGGCUCACCUAGGCGACUAGCCCUAGCUGGUCUGAGCGGAUGAACAGCCACACGGGAACUGAGACACGGCCCAGACUCCUACGGUAGGCAGCAGUGGGGAAUAUGGGACAAUGGGCGCAAGCCUGAUGCAGCCAUGCCGCGUGUAUGAAGAAGGCCUUCGGGUUGUAAAGUACUUUCAGUCGGGAGGCGUGACCGACAGAAGAAGCACCGGCUAACUCCGUGCCAGCAGCCGCGGUAAUAC